GACGGAGGGUGCGAGCGUUGUUCGGAAUCACUGGGCGUAAAGGGCGCGUAGGCGGCGCGGCAAGUCGGGCGUGAAAGCCCGGGGCUCAACCCCGGAGGUGCGCCCGAGACUGCCGCGCUCGAGGCCGGGAGAGGGGGGUGGAAUACCCAGUGGAGAGGUGAAAUUCGUAGAUAUUGGGUGGAACACCGGUGGCGAAAGCGGCCCCCUGGCCCGGGUACCUGACGCUGAGGCGCGAAAGCGUGGGGAGCAAACAGGAUUAGAAACCCGAGUAGUCC
RNAcentral lists this ribosomal RNA (275 nucleotides) under uncultured bacterium. RNAcentral describes it as "partial 16S ribosomal RNA". It matches the Rfam family "Bacterial small subunit ribosomal RNA", at positions 524 to 796 of the family's 1533-position model. The record is from RNAcentral.